Molecule: transfer RNA, 67 nt
Filed under: Tomocerus caputiviolaceus
Lineage: Eukaryota; Metazoa; Arthropoda; Collembola; Entomobryomorpha; Tomoceridae
Description: tRNA-Cys
Source: RNAcentral
GGUUUAAUAUUCUAUGAUAAGAUUGUAAAUUGCAAGUUUAUAGAUGUUAAAAAAAUGACUUAAACUU